This is a long non-coding RNA of Labeo rohita (rohu), 340 nucleotides long. RefSeq lists it as uncharacterized. The record is from RefSeq and is a predicted model, not a curated record. NCBI's taxonomy places the organism in Eukaryota, Metazoa, Chordata, Actinopteri, Cypriniformes, Cyprinidae. The transcript has 3 exons.
CUUCUUGGACAAAGCAGAGGUCGUCACUGGUCCAUACUUGGAGAAAGGGAAUCUCUGGACUUUCUUUAUGCUGUGCAGUGAGAUGGUCAGUGAUGUAGUGUUCCUGGCAUGGAAGUUUCCUGCACAAAAGAAAGUGGUCCAGAAAAUAUAUGAAAAUGAGGAUGUUCAUGAUUCAAUAUCCCAAACUAAAGCCUUUAAGAAGACCUUACAAACAUUUCUGGAGACUUUGAGAGACCGGUUUUGAGAAGAUAUUUGGCAAAGCAACCUAUGACCUUGGGCUUGGUUUAAAGGGAGCCUGUUCAAAUUUGUUGACUCAUGUCUAAAAUAAAAAUAAAAAAUA